RNAcentral lists this ribosomal RNA (492 nucleotides) under uncultured bacterium. RNAcentral's name for it is "partial 16S ribosomal RNA". It matches the Rfam family "Bacterial small subunit ribosomal RNA", at positions 29 to 507 of the family's 1533-position model. The record is from RNAcentral.
AGUGAACGCUGGCGGUAGUCCUAACACAUGCAAGUCGAACGGCAGCACAGUAAGAGCUUGCUCUUACGGGUGGCGAGUGGCGGACGGGUGAGGAAUACAUCGGAAUCUACUUUUUCGUGGGGGAUAACGUAGGGAAACUUACGCUAAUACCGCAUACGACCUACGGGUGAAAGCAGGGGAUCUUCGGACCUUGCGCGAUUGAAUGAGCCGAUGUCGGAUUAGCUAGUUGGCGGGGUAAAGGCCCACCAAGGCGACGAUCCGUAGCUGGUCUGAGAGGAUGAUCAGCCACACUGGAACUGAGACACGGUCCAGACUCCUACGGGAGGCAGCAGUGGGGAAUAUUGGACAAUGGGCGCAAGCCUGAUCCAGCCAUACCGCGUGGGUGAAGAAGGCCUCCGGGUUGUAAAGCCCUUUUGUUGGGAAAGAAAAGCAGCAGGUUAAUACCCCGCUGUUCUGACGGUACCCAAAGAAUAAGCACCGGCUAACUUCGUG